Molecule: ribosomal RNA, 253 nt
Filed under: uncultured bacterium
Lineage: Bacteria
Description: partial 16S ribosomal RNA
Rfam family: Bacterial small subunit ribosomal RNA
Source: RNAcentral
UACGUAGGGGGCAAGCGUUGUCCGGAAUCAUUGGGCGUAAAGCGCGUGUAGGCGGCCCGGUAAGUCCGCUGUGAAAGUCCAGGGCUCAACCCUGGGAUGCCGGUGGAUACUAUCGGGCUCGAGUCCGGAAGAGGAGUGUGGAAUUCCUGGUGUAGCGGUGAAAUGCGCAGAUAUCAGGAGGAACACCAAUGGCGAAGGCAGCACUCUGGGACGUGACUGACGCUGAGACGCGAAAGCGUGGGGAGCAAACAGG